Molecule: ribosomal RNA, 490 nt
Filed under: uncultured bacterium
Lineage: Bacteria
Description: partial 16S ribosomal RNA
Rfam family: Bacterial small subunit ribosomal RNA
Source: RNAcentral
AAUGAACGUUGGCGGCGUGGAUUAGGCAUGCAAGUCGAGCGAGAAGAGUUUGGUAGCCUGCUAUUGAACUCGGAAAGCGGCGAAAGGGAGAGUAACGCGUAGUUACGUGCCCCAGGGUUCGGAAUAGCCACGGGAAGCUGUGGGUAAUGCCGAAUAACAUCUCCGGAUCAAAGGUGUGAUUCCGCCCUGGGAGCGGACUGCGUCCUACUAGCUAGUUGGCGGGGUAAUGGCCCACCAAGGCAACAAUGGGUAGCGGGUGUGAGAGCAUGACCCGUCUCACUGGGACUGAGACACUGCCCAGACACCUGCGGGUGGCUGCAGUCGAGAAUCUUCGGCAAUGGGCGAAAGCCUGACCGAGCGACGCCGCGUGCGGGAUGAAGGCCCUCGGGUUGUAAACCGCUGUCGUAGGGGAGGAAGGCUCCAUGAAGAAUGGGGUUUGACCUAUCCUAGGAGGAAGUACGGGCUAAGUUCGUGCCAGCCGCCGCGGUAA